UAGUAACGGCGAGUGAAGAGGAAAGAGCUCAAAGUUGGAACCUGUUUGGCUUAGCUAAACCGGAUUGUAAACUGUAGAAGUGUUUUCCAGACACGCCUGGUAAAAAAGUCCUUUGGAACAGGGCAUCAUAGAGGGUGAGAAUCCCGUCAUUGGCCAGAGCUGUUGUCUUUUGUGAUACAUUUUCAAAGAGUCAGGUUGUUUGGGAAUGCAGCCUAAAUUGGGUGGUAAAUCUCACCUAAAGCUAAAUAUUUGCGAGAGACCGAUAGCGAACAAGUACCGUGAGGGAAAGAUGAAAAGAACUUUGAAAAGAGAGUUAAACAGUAUGUGAAAUUGUUAAAAGGGAACCGUUUGGAGCCAGACUGGCUUGAUCGUAAUCACUCUAGGCUUUGGCCUGGAUGCACUUGCGGUCUAUGCCGGCCAACGACAGUUUUGUUUGAGGGAAAAAAUUACAUUGAAUGUGGCCCUUCGGGGUGUUAUAGCUUUGUAAAAAAUACCUUGGACGGGACUGAGGAACGCAGCGAAUGCCUUUAGGCGAGAUUGCUGGGUGCUUGCGCUGAUACAUGCUAGAAUUUCUGCUUCGGGUGGUGCUAGUGUGUAAAGGAGUAACCCGCUUAGUAUAUUUUUUAUUCGCUUAGGUUGUUGGCUUAAUGACUCUAAAUGACCCGUCUUGAAACACGGACCAAGGAGUCCACCAUUAGUGCAAGUAUUUGGGUGACAAACCCAUAUGCGCAAGGAAACUGAUUGAUACGAAGGCGCAAGCUGGCAGUAUCACCCGGCGUUGACGUUUUAUACUGAACUGACCGAGGUAAAGCACUAAUGAUGGGACCCGAAAGAUGGUGAACUAUGCCUGAAUAGGGUGAAGCCGGAGGAAACUCCGGUGGAGGCUCGUAGCGAUUCUGACGUGCAAAUCGAUCGUCAAAUUUGGGUAUAGGGCGAAAGACUAAUCG
Molecule: ribosomal RNA, 947 nt
Filed under: Mucor irregularis
Lineage: Eukaryota; Fungi; Mucoromycota; Mucoromycetes; Mucorales; Mucoraceae
Description: eukaryotic LSU rRNA
Rfam family: Eukaryotic large subunit ribosomal RNA
Source: RNAcentral